GUCGGGCCGGCGGGUGCCCAGCGCGCGUGCGCAGCGGCCGCGACCCGUAGGCUCUAGCGAGUACCCGCUCAGUGUGCGUGACCGGCCGGCCAAUGGGACGCGGCCGUGCGUCUGCACAUGCGCCGGGAGCCUGUGGGCACGGGGGGGAGUGUGGGAGGCGUGUGCGGUGUGGAAAUAGCAGGGAUACGGGUUGCGUUUACUGCUGAGCGGGCGGAAUGAGACGGGUGCGCUUCCCGUAGCGAAACGUUUUGUGGUCGUGGGGAGCGGAGCUCGAAGGGAGCCCCUGAGGGAGAGCCGGGUCAGGGGGGCGUCCUCGCCCGCCCCCUUCCUCAAGUGGGCCUGUGCUGCUGCUGUGGAGCUGUGGUAUUGCGUCGCACCGCCAGGAAGGAAGGAAGUGUGCGGAGGAGGCCGUGUCUGCUGGCAGCGAGGUGGUGUUCUGAGAAAAUGGUGGUGUAUCUUCUGUCUAGACCGCUGCCGAGGCGUGUGGAACGCUUGUUUCUCAGAUGAAAUCAUGACUUGUGUGCUUACUGCAGUGCAGCUAUGAAAAAGCCUGGCACCCCCCACCUGCUUGGUGUCACCAGAGCUUUUCUACACGCCUUGUUUUUGAGUACAAAACAUCCCCUGAGAAUAGGAGAAUCCAGAUCGUAUUUUGGGUUUUCUUCAGAUUUGUGAGGGAGAGCUGUGGAGGCUUCGCACGUUUCAGCCAUCAUGUGCAACAUGGUGAGCAAGGUUUCACUGCGGUGCUGUCAGGAGUUCUGCAGCUCUGGGUAGUGCUGUGCUGUCCCUUUUAGUUCUGGAAACAAACAAAAGUCCUGUGAAUUCCAGAAGCAAUGUGAAAUUUUUAUUUUUUAUUUUAUUUUAAUCUGAGGGAAGCACGAGACCAUGGAGCGACUCGCAGUUGUUAAGAGCAUAGUGCUACCAUGAGGUGCUUCUAUUGAGAGGAUCCUAGACUCUCAAAGUUCUCACAUUUCAUUUCUGAAGAACAGACGAAUUUCUUAGAGUCAGAUGUGAAGUUUUCCUCCUAAACCUAAUGCUUUAAAUUACAACUGGUAUCAGCUGUAUAGUGUCCCUUUGUUCUUCUGGAAAACCAUCGUGCUCCUCAACAAGAGCCUCAUACUGCGCUGGUAAGCAAGGCCCAGUGGAAUUCAAUUUAUUGCCUCAUAAGAUGCAAAGCCACCUUGAAACGAGAAAGUUCUACAACCACAGUUAGAUUUAAAGGAGGCAGUUUUGAUAGCAUUAUAGUAAGAAAGGUGAUGCAUUUGAUCUGGCACAGCGUUUUUAACAAAGGAACUUCUAGAUUCUGGCUCUUUUGAGUGUUGAGUUGCCGCAUUGAAUUAAGUUCAACAGGCAAACUGGUUAGCAGUCGUUCUGCCAGAUUGUGCAUACAAGACAAAACGAAGAUGGUAUUGAGAAUCCUUUGCUCCACAGUUUUUGAAGUAUUUGAUGGCCUCAGUAGAUUUCUGGGGACUUCUGAAUUGUUACCCUGUACACCUUCCCUAACUCAUAUCAACUUUGCUGCAGUCUCCUGAUAGUCGUGCAUUCUGUAGUCAGUAAGCAUAUCAUCCAUCUCUGUAAAAGUAUUUUCAAUUAGCUAAAGAACAUAAACAAUGCUGUGGGGGGAAAAAGAAAUCUUUGGGAGCUUAAAUAAAGCACUCUGCUGACAUUACUUGUUAAUACAGUAUAAUAGGACUUCACUGUACAGGAAGGCAGGAGUACUUCAUCCUUUUUAUUUCUCAGCCUACUGAAGAUGCUGGUAGACCACAAAUAGAAGAACCUGUAAAUCAGGACCUACAGGAAGGUAGCACAAGAAAAAAUACUUAUUUACAUACUUCCUGCUAUUGUGCAGCAAAACUUGAGCAGUCAGUUAGAAGCCUAUUAGCUUUCAUUUUUAUGUGCUUACAUUGAAUAGUCCUAUUGAACUCAAUGGCAAUUCCCAUGGUUGAAGCUAGAGGUUCCUACAUUUGAUUUCCUUGUAUUCACCUAACAGCAGUGACACCAGCUCCAAAUGGUAGGUGAGGUCUUGUGUGCCCUCCAAACCUCUAUACUUUCACACCCUUGAAUGAGAAAUCCAUGCUGCUUCUUCCCAUCCCCAUCACUUCAUCCUCUCUAUUUUGCACCUAUCUAAACAGUGCACUGACUGAAGAAUGCAGAAGAGACACAAGACCUGUUUUGCUAUGUACAAAAUGAAGCUGCCAUGAUGCACAAUGAACAGAAAUGGCUUGUGGAGAAACCUAAUAUAUGGGUUAAGUUCAUCUCUUUGUACAAGUAAGAUUAUAAACUUUAAAGAUGUGGCAAUUUGAUGCAAUUUGUAUAUGACGUGGAACUGUUGCAGACAGGCUAAAAGGGAUUUAUUUCUGUAGCCUGGCUUCUAGCAGUCCUGAGUAUGUGAGUAUGGAGGCCAGUUAUCCUAAUGUUGAUGCUUAUGAUAUAAAACCGAAUUGUGUUUCAGGAAUGCGUUGAUUUAAUGCAUGCAAUUU
Tympanuchus pallidicinctus (lesser prairie-chicken) is the source of this 2477-nucleotide long non-coding RNA. RefSeq lists it as uncharacterized. The record is from RefSeq and is a predicted model, not a curated record. NCBI's taxonomy places the organism in Eukaryota, Metazoa, Chordata, Aves, Galliformes, Phasianidae. The transcript has 2 exons.